UUCACUCUAUUCCCCCUCUCCCCCCUCCAAUCCUAUAAUGAGUCCAUCCUGCGGGAAAUCGCAAUCUUUUUACUGCUCUGCUUUCGAUCCUGGGAGCCAGCCCGCGCUUGUACAUUCAUUUCCACCGCACUAACAUGCUACCCACUCAACUCCUAAAUCUAAAUGGUUCAGAAUUAAUGUCCCCUAUACAUACAGCUUGUCUCGUCACAACCUGCCCAAGCAACUGCAGCUAUGCUUCUAGUACCAAUUUGACCUCACAAAUCACCAAGCUUUUCACGCUACUGCAAUUAUUAUAACCUUUCCAGAGACAGUUACAUCACAGUUUGUUCCACCUGUCUCAGGUUCCUGCUGCUGCUGCUAUCUAUCAGACCUCCUCAUGCCCCUUAUUUGCUUCCACUCGGACCUCUCCCUACAGCAGUCAGCACCCAUCGGAACGCCUCGCUCUCUUUCUCACCUAUUACAUAUCUAUUUUUUUUUCUCUCGACUGCGCCAUGUUUGCUUGUGUCAAAACGAGUUGCCUUGCUCUGCUGUCAAGGCGUUCCACAUCUCCGAUCAUUAUCCCCAAGUGUCUUCUGCAGGUUGCAUCAUAUGCAUUCGAUAUUUGAUUUGCAUGCCUUGGUUGCUCUGGUUCACUAGUAUCAUGGCUAAUUUGGUUCUACCACCUGUUGUUGCAGAGUUGCUCAAUUUUCCUCUACUUGACUUGAUCAUUACAUGCUCUCUCAAGUUGAUUGCCUACUCUUUUGCUUUUAUCUAUAAUACAUCAAAAUCAUUGCUAGGUUGAACCCAUAUCAGUUGGUACCAUAAUAUUGUUUAUUUGCUCAAAGACUAGUAAUGUGUUGGUCUUUAUUUAGUAGACGGCCAUUUCGACUCCAUGUGCUUGACUAUAUGGCUCUGUUUAGUAUGCUACUAGCUAGACGUCGUCUAUUUGGACUUCCUUCUGAAUAUUAUUGUUUCUUUUGCUGACCAUAUUCUGCUCUUUUUUUUAGGAUAACGAGGGGGGCUAAGCGGCAGCGGUGACCUCCUUCUUCGGCUCCAUGUGCUUUGGUCAAUAAGGACUUCAAUCAAAUCACAGCCUCUUCGUUUACAUUGUACAUGUCCAUCAGCAUGUUCAUGUUAUUUACUUUGACUUUUACAAGGCUGGGAGCAUAGAAGGCUUGUGUCUGAUGCAUGACCGGAGGGUGGAAGAACAACAAGGGAAAGCUGUACUCCUCUUUUUUUGUCAAACCAGAAUUUGAAUGGGUGGGUUGUAAUUCUUGUGGCCUUUUAUUUCUGAUGCCAAAUCUGGAAUGGUGGGUGAUAGCUUGUAAUGCUUCAGACUAACGUCUGUUUGGUUCUUGGGUUGUGCUGUUGCACAUCUUUUGA
This is a long non-coding RNA of Lolium rigidum, 1362 nucleotides long. RefSeq lists it as uncharacterized. The transcript is spliced from 3 exons. Lineage: Eukaryota; Viridiplantae; Streptophyta; Magnoliopsida; Poales; Poaceae. The record is from RefSeq and is a predicted model, not a curated record.